CGCGUAGGCGGCCCUGUCAGUCAGGCGUGAAAGCCCCGGGCUUAACCUGGGAAAUGCGUUUGAUACUGCGGGGCUUGAGUGUGGGAGAGGUUGGUGGAAUUCCCAGUGUAGAGGUGAAAUUCGUAGAUAUUGGGAAGAACACCGGUGGCGAAGGCGGCCAACUGGACCACAACUGACGCUGAGGCGCGAAAGCGUGGGGAGCAAACAGGAUUAGAUACCCUGGUAGUCCACGCCGUAAACGAUGUGUGCUUGACGUUGGUGGGUUUACCCGCCGGUGUCGCAGCUAACGCGAUAAGCACACCGCCUGGGGAGUACGGCCGCAAGGUUAAA
Molecule: ribosomal RNA, 330 nt
Filed under: uncultured Pseudomonadota bacterium
Lineage: Bacteria; Pseudomonadati; Pseudomonadota
Description: bacterial SSU rRNA
Rfam family: Bacterial small subunit ribosomal RNA
Source: RNAcentral